Hibiscus syriacus is the source of this 934-nucleotide long non-coding RNA. RefSeq lists it as uncharacterized. The transcript has 3 exons. The record is from RefSeq and is a predicted model, not a curated record. NCBI's taxonomy places the organism in Eukaryota, Viridiplantae, Streptophyta, Magnoliopsida, Malvales, Malvaceae.
UUGUUCAUAUUAUAUUUCCUGUGAUUGAUUGCAAAGCUUUUGGUCAUUGCUUCUCAGUUUUAUGAUAUGGUAAUUUUUAUUUGCUCUCACUUUUUUUAUUUUUUAUCUCUUGCUCUUGCUUUGCAAAUCAUUACAGUAGUUUCUUUCUUUAUGUUUUAGUGAAAAUAAAAGGUAAGUAAAGUUCCAACUCUUUUGUUAUUGUCUUUCAAAUGAAAUCAGCCUGAAGAGGAUUUGUUUUUCCUACCAUCCACUUUACGAGUGACACAUAUUUGAUAACCUGGUUUCUACCACAAAUAUAUCUUUCUCUUUAAGCUUGUUAGUUGUGACAGCCAUUAUGACUCCCAUUUGAAGUUUAUGCUUAAUUCUUGUUGUGAAUCCGCUUGUUUUUUUGUAUCCCUAGAAUCUGUAUAUCAGGGCUGAACAUGAGGCAGAAUGGGAGGGCUGAUGCUCUAACACAAGCAAUUUGAUUAAAUGCUGAUUGUUCUGUAGUGCUUUAUCACCCAUAUGCCCGUAUCAUUACAUAUAUUGACAUGCUAAAUAGUGAUUGAUAGUUGAACCUCUUAGCAUUUUCACCAUAAAGAAAUUUUUAUCCCAUGUUAUGGAGUUCAUGCAAUUUUAUUAUACUUUAUAUAUUUGGAUUUUUACUGUUCUGUGUGUAAAAUAUUACAAAAGGCAAGUGUUAAUUUAUCAAUUUGGAGCAAUUGUUGAUUUGUUCAUAGAAUUUAUAUUAAUCAACUUAAGCUAUUCAUUCUGGGUUUUGAUGAGCAUGGUUUUUUUUGGCUGUAUUUACCUGAGAAAGUCACAUUUCAGUUGCAGAUGGAGUAUACUCACAUGUACAAAUGCCCUUUGAAAGGGUUAAAAAAGCAAGUGAAAGUAAAGAAAGGUGUUUAUCUAAUUUUGUGAAUUCAAGCUGCUAAGAAUUUGAAUUUACCAC